This 693-nucleotide long non-coding RNA is filed under the name Homo sapiens (human). RNAcentral describes it as "HSALNT0142876". Lineage: Eukaryota; Metazoa; Chordata; Mammalia; Primates; Hominidae. The record is from RNAcentral.
UGCUGCAAACAUUGGGAUCAGCCGUGACUAUCCCAUAACAUAAUAUUUCUGAUUUCAUUCUUUUCCUUUCUCCUACCAAUUUAAUCUGCAAUCACUUCAAGAGAAGUCUGUUUAAAGGAUAUUCACAUUCUGUUCACAGAGUUUGAGAGAAACUGUAUUCAAGUUGCUGAAACCAAGAAGCUACACUCACGAGUCUCACCUAAACUCGAAUCUGAUUUAGAUGACAUCAUCCUGGACUUUGAGUUGAUGAAACCUUGGAGGUCUUGGGAGUAAAGCAAGUGUGAUUUGCAUAUGAUGGAUAUGAAUUGUAAUGGCCAGAGCAUGGCUGUGAGAUGAAAACUCCCAUUUUAGGGAACCAAGACUGAAUUCCAUAAUUUACAUGGAUGUUUGGAAGGUGUCUGCAACUUAAUCUGUGUUCGUUUCUGAGAUGUUGGGCAACUCCUUCUUGGAAGAUGUGGUAAUGGUCUCUUCGAAAAGAAAAUAAUCAUCUGAGUUUUGGCCAAAAUAGUUGAUCGGAUUACCUAUGAAAAUGACUCUCACCCAACUACAAGAAGAUAUUAUAUGGAGAUGGUGUCAAACAACGGGAUGUGCUAUGGAAUUUGAUGUGGAGGCUGAAGGAAAGAGGAAUCUAGGCGGACUCACAGAUUUUUUGGCUUGAGUAACUUGGUGAGUAACUGAUAGUGCCACUUAAGA